RNAcentral lists this ribosomal RNA (662 nucleotides) under Laetiporus montanus. RNAcentral describes it as "eukaryotic LSU rRNA". It matches the Rfam family "Eukaryotic large subunit ribosomal RNA", at positions 57 to 692 of the family's 3401-position model. Lineage: Eukaryota; Fungi; Basidiomycota; Agaricomycetes; Polyporales; Laetiporaceae. The record is from RNAcentral.
AAAAGAAACUAACGAGGAUUCCCCUAGUAACUGCGAGUGAAGCGGGAAAAGCUCAAAUUUAAAAUCUGGCGGUCUUUGGCCGUCCGAGUUGUAGUCUGGAGAAGCGUCUUCUACGCCGGACCGUGUACAAGUCCCUUGGAACAGGGCGUCAUAGAGGGUGAGAAUCCCGUCCAUGACACGGACCGCCGGCGGUUUGUGAUGCGCUCUCAAAGAGUCGAGUUGUUUGGGAAUGCAGCUCAAAAUGGGUGGUAAAUUCCAUCUAAAGCUAAAUACUGGCGAGAGACCGAUAGCGAACAAGUACCGUGAGGGAAAGAUGAAAAGCACUUUGGAAAGAGAGUUAAACAGUACGUGAAAUUGCUGAAAGGGAAACGCUUGAAGUCAGUCGCGUCGGCCGGGGCUCAGCCUUGCAUUCGUUUGCUCGGUUUACUUCCCGGUCGACGGGCCAGCGUCGAUUUUGACCGUCGGAAAAGGGUCAGAGGAAAGUGGCACCUUCGGGUGUGUUAUAGCCUUUGGUCGCAUACGGCGGUCGGGAUCGAGGAACGCAGCACGCCUUCAUUGGCCGGGGCAUUCUUGCCCACGCAUCGUGCUUAGGAUGCUGGCGUAAUGGCUUUAAACGACCCGUCUUGAAACACGGACCAAGGAGUCUAACGUGCCUGCGAGUG